RNAcentral lists this long non-coding RNA (373 nucleotides) under Actinidia chinensis (golden kiwifruit). RNAcentral's name for it is "long non-coding RNA (ACHI_LNC004501)". The record is from RNAcentral. Lineage: Eukaryota; Viridiplantae; Streptophyta; Magnoliopsida; Ericales; Actinidiaceae.
AAAAAUUGAAAGGCAAGACCAUGCUCAAAGUGCAGCUGGUUCGAUUGUCUUGCACAAACAAUGUGAUUCGAGCAGCUGAUUCGUGUGAUUGCUCCACUAAUCGAUUUCAUAAUCCACGUUACCAAUUUCUGAAUAAUCACACGAAGCAUUAUGAAAUUUGGUUGAAACACGUACAAGGAAUACAAAGCCUAGCCGCCACCAAAUGUGAUUCACUCUGUAAUGAUAAGGUACAAAAUAAGCAAAUUCUAGAUCAUAAAUAACAGAAGACGGUAAGCUUUCCAGUUUCCAUGAAAAAAUCACAUACCUAAUACCUUUACAAACAUUAGAGCAAUAGCAGUUAUAGCUCCAACAUCAACAAUGAACUGUGUCCUAU